GUGACCCAAGCCUCGUCCCUGCCAGGGCCCCUCCCAGCAGGCGGGAGUGGGGUGCAGUUGCCCUGCUGGGAAAAUCCCCCAGACCUCACCAAAACCCGGGCUGAAACUUUCUCCCAACUCCGCUGUUUCCUGUCUUCCCUACCGCAGCUGAAAUCAGGGGUCAGGUGUUCAAGCAGAAGGAACAGCCUGAGACCCAGGGCUGCGUGCCAAGGGGUGAAGGAAGUGCCGGUUGGUUCCAGUGGGUCAGCCCGGUGGCAUCUCCGCUCCCCUGCUCCAAAUUCCAAUUUGGUGAGGCUGCUGGAGGCUGAGUCAGCUCCGGCACGGCACGAGAGCAGCGUCCCAAGGGGCUCCUUGCCAGAAACCCUGGCCCCCAACCAAGGCCAGGGCCAGGCUCCCAGACUACAGUAGCCUCAGCCGAACGGUGCUGCCCACGAUCAUGUGAGUGACUGUGCCUUGGGGGUUGUGAAGAACUCACAGUGGGUGAGGCUCUGGGUAACAGUCCAAGGAGGAGGCAGAGGCCGGGGGCUAAGUCCUCCUCUGCUCAGCUCACCACACGACUCUGGGAGAUUUCCUUUUCCCUCUUGGCCUCUACUUCCUUGACCACACAAGGGGACCCACAUUUCCUAAGUAGUUCAUGAGACUUAAAUAAGACAUAUGAAGUGCUUUGCAAACUGCCCCGUGGCCCAGGAUAGUCAGAGUGGGAGGAGUGAGGCAAAACGUGAGAAUGUCCGGAGUCCCUUACAGCUGUGCAGGCUGCUUACCGCGUAAGAAGUCCAACCUAGGCUGUCGAAAUCUAGCCCGUCCUCCGCUCACCGGGCUGUAUUCCCUCACCUAGAAAUGCUAGGACCAAGAGGGUACCCUGCCCUAACUGACACACACAAAUACACCCAGUAGUAGCUCCUCAGACUUUGCUGGGUCAAGCCCCUAGAUUUAUGGGAAACCACUAAGAAACCGAUUCUGAUUCUUGGAAUGGAGGAGAAGCAGGACUGGUUUUGCAGAGGCUCCCAGAGAGGCUCCCAGCCUUGGCAGGGAGAUGAUUCUUAUUACUGGGGAGCAGUUAGGGGUUCCCAGGUAGGGUAGAGAAGAAGUCUCUUCUGGUCCUGCCUCUCUCCAGAAACCAAAGCAGGCAACCAG
Mustela erminea (ermine) is the source of this 1134-nucleotide long non-coding RNA. RefSeq lists it as uncharacterized. NCBI's taxonomy places the organism in Eukaryota, Metazoa, Chordata, Mammalia, Carnivora, Mustelidae. The transcript has 3 exons. The record is from RefSeq and is a predicted model, not a curated record.